RNAcentral lists this transfer RNA (70 nucleotides) under Loxodonta africana (African savanna elephant). It matches the Rfam family "tRNA". From Rfam's summary of the family: Transfer RNA (tRNA) molecules are approximately 80 nucleotides in length. Their secondary structure includes four short double-helical elements and three loops (D, anti-codon, and T loops). Lineage: Eukaryota; Metazoa; Chordata; Mammalia; Proboscidea; Elephantidae. The record is from Rfam by way of RNAcentral.
GCAUUGGUGGUUCAGUGGCAGAAUUUUCAUCCUUCAUGCAGAGACCUGGGUUCGAUUCCUGGCCAAUGCA